AACGAACGCUGGCGGCAUGCCUAACACAUGCAAGUCGAACGAGACCUUCGGGUCUAGUGGCGCACGGGUGCGUAACGCGUGGGAACCUGCCUUGAGGUUCGGAAUAACUCCCCGAAAGGGUGCUAAUACCGGAUAAUGUCUUCGGACCAAAGAUUUAUCGCCUUUAGAUGGGCCCGCGUUGGAUUAGCUAGUUGGUGGGGUAAAGGCCUACCAAGGCGACGAUCCAUAGCUGGUCUGAGAGGAUGAUCAGCCACACUGGGACUGAGACACGGCCCAGACUCCUACGGGAGGCAGCAGUGGGGAAUAUUGGACAAUGGGCGAAAGCCUGAUCCAGCAAUGCCGCGUGAGUGAUGAAGGGCCUUAGGGUUGUAAAGCUCUUUUACCAGGGAUGAUAAUGACAGUACCUGGAGAAUAAGCUCCGGCUAACUCCGUGCCAGCAGCCGCGGU
RNAcentral lists this ribosomal RNA (447 nucleotides) under uncultured bacterium. Its description in RNAcentral is "bacterial SSU rRNA". It matches the Rfam family "Bacterial small subunit ribosomal RNA", at positions 29 to 521 of the family's 1533-position model. The record is from RNAcentral.